UUUAACAAAGAGAAGCAAAGCCGCGAGGUAGAGCGAAUCUCAAAAAAACAAUCUCAGUUCAGACUGCAGGCUGCAACUCGCCUGCACGAAGUCGGAAUUGCUAGUAAUCGUAGGUCAGCAUACUACGGUGAAUACGUUCCCGGGCCUUGUACACACCGCCCGUCAAACCAUGAGAGUUGGCAACACCCGAAGUCGGUAGUCUAACCGCAAGGAGGACGCCGCCGAAGGUGGGGUUGAUGAUUAGGGUUAAGUCGUAACAAGGUAUC
Molecule: ribosomal RNA, 266 nt
Filed under: uncultured bacterium
Lineage: Bacteria
Description: partial 16S ribosomal RNA
Rfam family: Bacterial small subunit ribosomal RNA
Source: RNAcentral